CUUAACAGUAUUCGUGCUUCACCAUUAACUCCGCCAGGAUGGGAUGUUAUUUUUCGAAUUUAUCAAAAAGUAUAAGCAAGAAAACGUAUAGCUAUAAGUUUUCGCAGCAAAAAAUUAAAUUAAGGAGAUUCUGGUGAUCUGUAAAUAGUAUUUAUUAGAGUAAGUGAUGGUAGCAUUUAAACAGCUUAAUUGCUUAGCUUAUAUCUUAAUGUAAAAAAAUAUUUAUAUGAUAUUUAAAAUAUUGUUAUGGUUAUAAGCUACUAAUACGUGGAACGUACAUUAAUAAUUUCAAAUAAUUAUGUAUUUCAUAUGAGAACAGAUUUAUUUUACAAUACGAAAGUAUUUCCAUGAUUUCUUAUUUAUUAGUAUUUACUAAGUAGCGUUCCAUAAACUGCUUGAUGUAUAUUUUGAGGGUUGUUCCUAAUAUUUAGAAUGUUAUCUAACUCUACUUUUAUAGUUGUUUGAUCUAGAUAUAGCACUUAGGAAAGAUCGAUAAAUACGAAAAAAAUAUGUUAUCAACAAAUGUUUAAAAUUUUGACGCAUCUCAAUUCCAGAUGAAAAGCAAAAUUCUACUGUCAUUUUAACCAUAUUGCAAACCUUAUAUUUUUAAAUAGUAAUUAAUGACGUGCUAGCUAUUUUGCCGUUUUGUAUUAUUUCAUUUGACAGUUUUACUAAACCUAUGGUCACCCUCAACAAUGAAAUGUGUUGUUAAGUCUUGUAUUUUUUCAACUAUUCCACGAACGUAAUAUGUUAUUUGAAAAUUCAAAAUUUUCUUUUAAUGUUGAACGUUUAAGGAGAGUGUAGACAUGUUAUUUGUUUAAUUGGCUUUCUCAAUGACUUUACUUUUAUUUCGAUGCUUUUGCGAAAUAGACUUGGUAAGGUUUUUUAAAUAUUAUCAUUUAUUGUCUUUACACACAGUAUAUAAAUAUUUUUUAUAUAUGAAGUGUCACAUGAGACACUAUUUGACACUUUUGUAUUAAAACAUUGGAAAUUAACAAAUAUUGUAUUAAUUAUUGAAGUAAUAGUAAUGAAAAUAAUCCAUGUGCCAAUAAUGGACAGGUCGUCUGUCUCGUAGCCAUAUUUUUUAUAGUGUAGUUGUAUAAAAUAAUAUUUUUCGAAUAUGUUAUUAUGUAUUCCAUUUCAUUGUAAAUCAAUGAUAAUAAAAAUUCUGUAAUAAAAA
Molecule: long non-coding RNA, 1180 nt
Organism: Cydia splendana
Lineage: Eukaryota; Metazoa; Arthropoda; Insecta; Lepidoptera; Tortricidae
Exons: 2
Source: RefSeq, a predicted model, not a curated record